GGCUGAUUAGCUCAAUUGAUAGAGAGCGCUGCGCUAACAACGUGAAUGUCGUGGGUUCGCUCCCCAUACUGGUCA
RNAcentral lists this transfer RNA (75 nucleotides) under Biomphalaria glabrata. It matches the Rfam family "tRNA". From Rfam's summary of the family: Transfer RNA (tRNA) molecules are approximately 80 nucleotides in length. Lineage: Eukaryota; Metazoa; Mollusca; Gastropoda; Planorbidae. The record is from Rfam by way of RNAcentral.